UACGGGGGGGGCAAGCGUUGUUCGGAAUUACUGGGCGUAAAGGGCUCGUAGGUGGCCAACUAAGUCAGACGUGAAAUCCCCAGGCUCAACUUGGGAACUGCGUCUGAUACUGGAUGGCUUGAAUUCGGGAGAGGGAUGCAGAAUUCCAGGUGUGGCGGUGAAAUGCGUAGAUAUCUGGAGGAAUACCGGUGGCGAAGGCGGCAUCCUGGACCGAGAUUGACACUGAUGAGCGAAAGCUAGGGGAGCAAACGGG
RNAcentral lists this ribosomal RNA (253 nucleotides) under uncultured bacterium. Its description in RNAcentral is "partial 16S ribosomal RNA". It matches the Rfam family "Bacterial small subunit ribosomal RNA", at positions 524 to 776 of the family's 1533-position model. The record is from RNAcentral.